RNAcentral lists this long non-coding RNA (215 nucleotides) under Gossypium barbadense (sea-island cotton). RNAcentral's name for it is "long non-coding RNA (GBAR_LNC000503)". Lineage: Eukaryota; Viridiplantae; Streptophyta; Magnoliopsida; Malvales; Malvaceae. The record is from RNAcentral.
AGCAAUAUGCGUGGGGAAUUUAACGGCUUGCAAGGUUUGAUUUUGAAUGAUUGUCAAUAUGCUUAUUAUGUUCAUUGUUUUGUUCAUCGUCUUCAAUUAGCAUUGAUUGUAGCAGCUAGAGAAGUGGUUGAAGUAUAUCAAUUCUUUAAAGACUUGUCUGAUAUUGUUAAUAUUGCUUCGGCUUCUUCCAAACGACAUGAUGAAUUACAAAAAUC